GUCUGUAGCUGAACAUGACAGUCGNACGAUGAUCCCCGCUUGCUGGGGGAUUAGUGGCGAACGGGUGAGUAACACGUGAGUAACCUGCCCUUGACUCUGGGAUAAGCCUGGGAAACUGGGUCUAAUACCGGAUACGACCAUUCCACGCAUGUGGUGGUGGUGGAAAGCUUUUGUGGUUUUGGAUGGACUCGCGGCCUAUCAGCUUGUUGGUGGGGUAAUGGCCUACCAAGGCGACAACGGGUAGCCGGCCUGAGAGGGUGACCGGCCACACUGGGACUGAGACACGGCCCAAACUCCUACGGGAGGCAGCAGUGGGGAAUAUUGCACAAUGGGCGCAAGCCUGAUGCAGCGACGCCGCGUGAGGGAUGACGGCCUUCGGGUUGUAAACCUCUUUCAGUAGGGAAGAAGCGUAAGUGACGGUACCUGCAAAAAAAGCGCCGGCUAACUACGUGCCAGCAGCCGCGGUAAUACGUAGGGCGCAAGCGUUAUCCGGAAUUAUUGGGCGUAAAGAGCUCGUAGGCGGUUUGUCGCGUCUGCUGUGAAAGACCGGGGCUCAACUCCGGUUCUGCAGUGGGUACGGGCAGACUAGAGUGCAGUAGGGGAGACUGGAAUUCCUGGUGUAGCGGUGAAAUGCGCAAAUAUCAGGAGGAACACCGAUGGCGAAGGCAGGUCUCUGGGCUGUAACUGACGCUGAGGAGCGAAAGCAUGGGGAGCGAACAGGAUUAGAUACCCUGGUAGUCCAUGCCGUAAACGUUGGGCACUAGGUGUGGGGGACAUUCCACGUUUUCCGCGCCGUAGCUAACGCAUUAAGUGCCCCGCCUGGGGAGUACGGCCGCAAGGCUAAAA
Molecule: ribosomal RNA, 846 nt
Filed under: Arthrobacter sp. 070605-23_P08_5
Lineage: Bacteria; Bacillati; Actinomycetota; Actinomycetes; Micrococcales; Micrococcaceae
Description: bacterial SSU rRNA
Rfam family: Bacterial small subunit ribosomal RNA
Source: RNAcentral